Molecule: ribosomal RNA, 406 nt
Filed under: uncultured bacterium
Lineage: Bacteria
Description: partial 16S ribosomal RNA
Rfam family: Bacterial small subunit ribosomal RNA
Source: RNAcentral
AUUGAACGCUGGCGGCAGGCCUAACACAUGCAAGUCGAACGAGUGGCGGACGGGUGAGUAAUGUCUGGGAAACUGCCCGAUGGAGGGGGAUAACUACUGGAAACGGUAGCUAAUACCGCAUACCAUCGGAUGUGCCCAGAUGGGCUUAGAUAGUUGGUGGGGUAAAGGCCUACCAAGGCGACGAUCCGUAACUGGUCUGAGAGGAUGAUCAGUCACACUGGAACUGAGACACGGUCCAGACUCCGCCGGGAGGCAGCAGUGGGGAAUAGUGGACAAUGGGCGAAAGCCUGAUCCAGCCAUGCCGCGUGUGUGAAGAAGGUCUGCGGAUUGUAAAGCACUUUAAGUUGGGAGGCGUUACCAACAGAAUAAGCACCGGCUAACUUCGUGCCAGCAGCCGCGGUAAUUC